CCUCACCUGUUCCCCAUUGUGAUUUGUGUUCUCACCUGUUCCCCAUUGUGUGCUCUCACCUGUCUUGCGUUUUUGUGAUUGUCACUUCCCUCUAUUAGCCAGGGUAUAAAUACCUGGCUAAUCUCUGUGGCCCUGAUCGGGUCGUUAGAAGUCUUUCCUCAAGGACACGCAGCCAUCGCACGCACUCAGGUGCCGCUAGUCUUAGCUAGUUCCGGUUGGUGUCUUGUUGCGGUUCUCACACCGCUUCUGUCUCUCGUUGCGGUCCCUAACCGCUUUCGGCUUCUUAAAGCCUUCAUCAGGUAGCUAUUGUGAAAGCUACAUUUUGUAUCUUGUUUAGUUUAUGGCCUUUUGCCCUGUUCAUAUCCUCUGUGCUUUUGGAUUAUCUCCUGAGUUUGGAUUAUCUUCUGUGUGUUUGUUUCUCGCUGUUGAAGCAUCCUUGUUUCUCAAUAAAAGAACCAUUGAGAACAUCAUCCUGCCAUUGGGUCCUCUCAUUAGCACACUGGGCUAAGCGCUGGUUCCCCACAUCCAGCAUCUCGGGUGCAAUCCCCGAGAAAAGCCUGACAAAUAGAAGCUGAAAUGGAAAGAAGAGGUUCUUCCAAACUUAACAAAUUAACAUUAACAAAUAAAAAAAAAAUUGAGCAUUACAAUUUGAAUAUUACUAAUUUAUGAUGUGAAUCAGAUGCAGGUAAUUAUCCAACAACAGACCUGCAUACUCCACCGAGAGGUCUUCAUUUGAGGUUGGAGUAGAAGCUGAAAUGGAAAGAAGAGGUUCUUCCUAACUUGGUUUUGAUCUUUCGCUGUAUCUGUGUAUUUUGUUAUGUUUAUGAUCUGUUCCUCUCUUUUCUUUGAAGCUUGGCCUACCAUUUUAUGGGAGCGAUGAGGGACAGGUGGAGCUUGAAAAGCCCCCCUUAAUCAAAGUGGGGAAUGACAGAAAAAGUUUGAGAACCACUGCGGUAGUUGAAGAUAGAGAGAGCUGAGGGAUUGUUGGGCGGAAAGUCUCUGUUUAAGAGCCAAAAUGACGGAACAAUCAACAAAAGUUGUAUAGCAUUUGUCAAGCUGAAUUAAGCUAUCACAGAAGCAGCUCGCCUUUAAGUUAUCACCUUAAUGCAAAGCACCCGACAGAAAGCAGUCCCAGGUUAGAUGAUCGAUUUACCGUCGAGGGGCACCAUUGUGUUUUAAAAAAAAAUACAAUUAAACAACAAUUAAACAACAGUGUUAAACAACAUUAAUUAAUUUCAAAAUGUGCGAUUAAUUAAUUUUUUUUAAUCGAUUGACAGCCCUAAUAUAUAUAAGAGAGAGAGAGUGAGCAUACAUGCAAGUAUAUUUUAUUGUAAAUGCAUCUUAUUGUGUACAUUUACUUUUGAAGCUACAAAGACUAAACUGGUACUACAGAUGUUCUAUGUGAUAUUUGUGACAGUAGGGCAUGUUGAUAGUAUAAUUUAAGAUAGUGUUUAUAGAUCAUUAAAUCAGUACUUACUUGUUGUAGACAAUAUCAAAACAAUUGUAAAACCUCUACUUGCAAUCAUUUUCUGUAAUUUCUAUAAUUUGAUUGUCUGUUCAGACAGAAGUAAGGAACACGGAAUGUUCUUGAGAAUAAGGAACACUUUGAGACAGAGGUUUGGCACAGGAAAUUGUGAGAGGAUGCAGACUUUUUCUGUCUGUUUACUGUUGCUGCUUUGGGCAGAAUCAGACUGCCAGCAUUGGUCUAAAGCUUCAGGAUAUGCUUGGGCAACCCCAACUCCAGGAUAUGACUGGGUCACCCCAAAUCCACAGCAGCACUGGAUGAGACCCACUCCACGGCAACAAUGGAUGAGAGGCAGAACCUCACGUAUGUAACUCGCAUCACAUCACCUGCUUCUCACAUUUAUACCCAAUCAAAUAUUUAAAAUAUUCAGCCUAGAGUUAUUCAAAAUGUAAUUAUUUCUCUAUUUAGGUCCAUGGAGGCACUGGAUGCAACCCAGUAGGUUUAUGUCCAUCAGCAUACUCUUUAUAUAGCCAAUAUGGACAAA
Long non-coding RNA from Clupea harengus (Atlantic herring), 2009 nucleotides. The record is from Ensembl. Lineage: Eukaryota; Metazoa; Chordata; Actinopteri; Clupeiformes; Clupeidae.